UGCAGAGUCUGCUUUGCAGUACACCGUGCACGGUGCUGAACGGCACGUGUCACAAGCACGUGCCCAGCUAUUGGUAUCCCCUCCUGGUGAAUAAUAGAUGGUUUCCAUAACACGUCUUCAAGCUAUGGAGACCGACCUUGUUAGAGAAUCUCAUCAAAUGUUCGAAUGGAUUGUGGCACAUGAGUUCUCAUACUACCGGCCUAAAAUAUAGCCAGGUACACUGUUUCGGGCCAAGACAUGAUGUCCUUUGUUGGCCGCGGCCUAGUCCAUGAUCAGCUCUUAAACGUAUGUAAGAACUUGGAUUUUCUGAUUCCGGUCUAUGGAAUGUCUUAUAUGAUUAUAUGUACUCAACUCUGCUUCUAAUCAGUCACAAUUUGUUAAGAGACAAUUUUUGUGGUGGAGAUUUCUUCUAUGAACUUACUGAAUGUGAUUUACUUUAAGAAAGAUGAAUUUAAUGAUUAUC
Molecule: long non-coding RNA, 463 nt
Organism: Chenopodium quinoa (quinoa)
Lineage: Eukaryota; Viridiplantae; Streptophyta; Magnoliopsida; Caryophyllales; Amaranthaceae
Exons: 2
Source: RefSeq, a predicted model, not a curated record